This 557-nucleotide long non-coding RNA is filed under the name Homo sapiens (human). Its description in RNAcentral is "non-protein coding THSD4-AS1:11". The record is from RNAcentral. Lineage: Eukaryota; Metazoa; Chordata; Mammalia; Primates; Hominidae.
AGAAAGGAGGAAGAGGCAGGCACAAGACAAAAUGAAUCUCUCCGCUGUGCACAUGGAGCCUUAGCUCUGAUUCCAGUUGAGCAAAAUUAUGAAGAAGAUGAUUCCCCAUAUGGAUGACAGAUAAACACCCUGUGGCGAGUCACUCACUCCCGAAAGGCCCUCUGAAGGAUCGCGCAUGUCCUGACUGCACAGCCUGCUCCUGACAAUGCUCUCAAAGCCACGGUUGUAAUAGAAAUUGGAAAAUCAAAGCAGAUCCAUGUGGCCUCAGCAUAACGAAAACAAGAGAAUCCUGAGAUUGAGAAGAGGGAGAAUACUUUAAAGAGGAGCCCCUCCUACUACAGAAACCUCAGUGUAACAGCAGGAAUGACCCUGUGCCUCCAAACAUGUGGUUUAAGAGGCAGAUCUAACAUGACUCUUCAAAAACAAGCCCAGGGAAAAGAGAAGAUGACAACAUGUAACCAGCAGCCACCUUAGAAUGCAGGGGGCAGCUAUAGUGCCACCUCUGCAGGCGGAUUUACCAGUUUAAAUAGAUGGUUCUCAAAACUGCAGGCAACUUU